Molecule: ribosomal RNA, 508 nt
Filed under: uncultured bacterium
Lineage: Bacteria
Description: partial 16S ribosomal RNA
Rfam family: Bacterial small subunit ribosomal RNA
Source: RNAcentral
AUUGAACGCUGGCGGCAUGCCUUACACAUGCAAGUCGAACGGCAGCGGGGGAGAAGCUUGCUUUUCCUGCCGGCGAGUGGCGAACGGGUGAGUAAUACAUCGGAACGUGCCCUGUAGUGGGGGAUAACUAGUCGAAAGAUUAGCUAAUACCGCAUACGACCUGAGGGUGAAAGUGGGGGACCGCAAGGCCUCAUGCUAUAGGAGCGGCCGAUGUCUGAUUAGCUAGUUGGUGGGGUAAAGGCCUACCAAGGCGACGAUCAGUAGCUGGCCUGAGAGGACGAUCAGCCACACUGGGACUGAGACACGGCCCAGACUCCUACGGGAGGCAGCAGUGGGGAAUUUUGGACAAUGGGCGAAAGCCUGAUCCAGCAAUGCCGCGUGUGUGAAGAAGGCCUUCGGGUUGUAAAGCACUUUUGUCCGGAAAGAAAUGGCUCUGGUUAGUACCUGGGGUCGAUGACGGUACCGGAAGAAUAAGGACCGGCUAACUACGUGCCAGCCGCCGCAGUAA